Long non-coding RNA from Pavo cristatus (Indian peafowl), 2059 nucleotides. Lineage: Eukaryota; Metazoa; Chordata; Aves; Galliformes; Phasianidae. The record is from Ensembl.
UCUGCCUUCUCCUGAGUGUCAAAACAAAAGGCUACCAAGGAGGAGUUGGGUUUGUUCAGAAAGUUCCCUCUUGCUGGAGGGGUGGGCAGGGGGCAGCCCAUUGAAAGGAAGAAGCAAGCCCUGGGCAAAGCAAGGGAGGCAAAAGAAGCAGUGGUGUUCAGAAUAAGUUCAGUCAUUAUAUGUUCACUGUUCUACUUUUAACGUUCUCCUUAAGUUCUGCAUUAUGAAUACUAACUGUAAGAAAACAGAAUGCAUCAGUUUCUUCCUGAGAUGAGAAGAACAUCUCCUCACUGGUGUGCCAUCAUUAACUGAUGCUCAAAUCCCAAGUUCAGAGAUGACCUGGGUGACGUUCACGCCAUGCAGUGUGGUGCUGUGCACAGAUCCCUUGGCUGUUCACAGGAUGGGAAGCAGCACAACCGUGCCAUGGUGCGACUGCACCUGAGCUAAUUAUGGGCCUGAAAAGAGGUGGGCUAAUUAAACUGAGCAUACGGCAUCAACAGCUCGACAGAUUCCAAGACCUGAGUUGGUGUUUUUGUGUGGUGUGGCCUUUAAAACAUUGGCACAGAUGGUCUUUCAGAGAUGCUACCCCCACUUGUAUGCUCUCCUGAAGGGCACCUCUGGGAUAUGCUGAAAGCUUCCAAAAACAGCCCCAAGGCUCAGUUCAAGUGCAUAGAGCCAACAUUUCCAUGGGAAUGGUGUCAUAGAGGCUGCAGGGAAACCAAGCAGCCAGCUCUGAAAGCUACGUGCUGCACUGGAGCACAAAGACUGGUGGUGCUCCAAAAGAGCAUUCAGCAAAGUUCCCUGGAGGAAAGCCUAACUGCUCCUCAUCAGAGGCUGCAGCUGGAGCACAAACAGGUUUAGCUCCUAUUUCCAUUCAUCUCGCUCAAAAAAACAAGCAACAAAAUGUCUCGAGGACGGGCGGUCUCAAAAUGGAUGCACCCAGAGUAAGUAGUUCCAUGAGAAAAAUGUUGGCCUUAGAGUUGCAAAGCACUUGGGCUGCAUGCAACCAUUUACAUGUCAGAAAAGCGAUGACAAGGCCUCCUCUCAGCUACCAGGCAGCCUAUGCACGGCACUGUUAGAUGGACGAGCCAGAAAUUCCAGUUGGUGAGCUCUCCAAAUUUCUGGUCUCCAGAGAACACGUUCCCUCACUCAUGCCAGACACCAUUGUGCUGUUCUUUUUUCUCUUCUGAUAGGAAGUCAGCCAAGGAGACACUGUUUUAUAUCUCCAGACAGAUAUAGAUUAGACUUAGGGUGGAGAUUGGCCCUAAUUAAUCAUAAGAGUUCAAAUUAGGUUUCUACCGGUGCUCCAAAUUCUGCCAGCUUUAAUGCUGUUACAUACAGAAACCUUAGGACAUCCAUUUAGACACCUCCAAUCCAGAACUACAGACACACCCCCAGAAAUGCUCUACCUGAGAUGUGGACAUGAGACCCUCCCUCACCCUCAGCUUGGAGGGGUUUGAGUCCAAGCUCCGCUUAUCGCCCAUCUCUGGUUUUCAUCAGCACAUCUGUUUACCUCUGAUUCUCCUAUGGAAUGCAGCAUCGCCGUGUUCCACGGUCUGUGAUAACCUCAUUUAAAUACCAAUCAGAGAAGUCAGUACACAAAGACAAUGCAGUGCUUUCUUCCCUCCACACGUGUGGGCGUACGAUCCGCGCCAGUAUUAGCAUCAGCUCCAGGAUAAUGGGAGAUUGUCUCAUUCCCACCGUCUCUACUUAAUCUCACUUGACUCAUCCAGGACCAGAAGAAUCAAACUUUGAUCACUGAGAUACAGAUGAAGGGGAAGAGGACUCUGGCGUAGCAUUCCCAGCCCUGGCACAGCUUUAAUGUUCCAUCUCCAGCAGAUCCCCGGCUCUCACUGGACUUCUGUUUUCCCCACAUGCAAAACGAGGGUGAUAACAUCUACCACACAGAGCUGUUGUAUGGUCUGGAAAGCACUCAAACGGAAGCCACAAAGGGGAGGCAGAGGUGUUAUUAUCUCACACCUAGCUAAACAUAUUUCCCAUUUAUAGAUUGCAUGAGCACUCUUUUGUGUCAUACGAUUACGAAACUGCUUGAUGUGCC